RNAcentral lists this ribosomal RNA (396 nucleotides) under uncultured bacterium. RNAcentral's name for it is "bacterial SSU rRNA". It matches the Rfam family "Bacterial small subunit ribosomal RNA", at positions 29 to 430 of the family's 1533-position model. The record is from RNAcentral.
AGCGAACGUUAGCGGCGCGCCUUACACAUGCAAGUCGAACGGCAGCGGACCUUCGGGUGCCGGCGAGUGGCGAACGGGUGAGUAAUAUAUCGGAACGUACCUUUCAGUGGGGGAUAACGUAGCGAAAGUUACGCUAAUACCGCAUAUUCUGUGAGCAGGAAAGCAGGGGAUCGCAAGACCUUGCGCUGAUUGAGCGGCCGAUAUCAGAUUAGCUAGUUGGUGAGGUAAAGGCUCACCAAGGCGACGAUCUGUAGCGGGUCUGAGAGGAUGAUCCGCCACACUGGAACUGAGACACGGUCCAGACUCCUACGGGAGGCAGCAGUGGGGAAUUUUGGACAAUGGGCGCAAGCCUGAUCCAGCCAUGCCGCGUGAGUGAAGAAGGCCUCGGUUGUAAGA